This 253-nucleotide ribosomal RNA is filed under the name uncultured bacterium. Its description in RNAcentral is "partial 16S ribosomal RNA". It matches the Rfam family "Bacterial small subunit ribosomal RNA", at positions 524 to 776 of the family's 1533-position model. The record is from RNAcentral.
CACGUAGGGCGCGAGCGUUGUCCGGAUUUAUUGGGCGUAAAGAGCGUGUAGGCGGCCGUACAGGUCAGCUGUGAAAACUCGAGGCUCAACCUCGAGACGUCGGUUGAAACCGUACGGCUAGAGUCCGGAAGAGGAGAGUGGAAUUCCCGGUGUAGCGGUGAAAUGCGCAGAUAUCGGGAAGAACACCCGUGGCGAAGGCGGCUCUCUGGGACGGUACUGACGCUGAGACGCGAAAGCGUGGGGAGCGAACAGG